This is a long non-coding RNA of Canis lupus familiaris (dog), 2586 nucleotides long. RefSeq lists it as uncharacterized. NCBI's taxonomy places the organism in Eukaryota, Metazoa, Chordata, Mammalia, Carnivora, Canidae. The record is from RefSeq and is a predicted model, not a curated record. The transcript is spliced from 3 exons.
CCCACUCGUCCAGAAGCAUCCCAGGUUCAGCUCUGCCCAUCAGCAAAGCCGCUUUUCUGCGGGCAGGUGAUCGGGCAGGUACUUACAGACAUUCACGGAGCCCACACCUUCACACAGCCUGCGGGAAAGAAAACUCCGUUAGCGCUGCACACGGAGCGGGGAUCCUCGAGCCAGGUGGUUGCUCAGGGACAGGGAGGGCCGUUCCAUGUACAGAUGCCCCCCCUGCCCCCCGAGUCAGGGAGGGCGCCCCAACGUCUGCAUUACAGGACCCCCGUCUCUCUCUGACCAUUCUCUGACCACAGGGACAAGGCCUUCCGGUUCUGAGCAGAGCUGGCACGACGCUGAGCUCCGCCGGCUGCCGCCGAUCUGAGGUCCCCUGGGCCUCCCGGAGGAGUGUGGUCAGGCCCCCAGAAAGCAGCAGGAGGGUGUGCAAAGGGCCGGAGCGCCAUCCAGGAGCUCGCGUGCAGGGAGCGCACUGUCCUCACGCCGUGCCAGCCCGUGGGGCGGCCACGCGGCGGCCUCCCGUAGGGAGCUACUGGGAGAAAAUGGGUUUGGGGGGCAAGUGGCUUGGAAACAGGCUGCGCCUCUUGCGCUUAGUAACUGAGGCCACGAGAACGUCACUGCACGCGGGGCCUUACUCCCUCACCUUUGGGUGUGAAACAUGGUCUCUACCUCAUUGGAUUGUGAGGACUGAGCUGAGCGCAUGGCACAGGCCAAACACAUAGUAUUUGAUAAGUUAUGACUAUUAUUGAAGCUUAACCUGUACUAGCGGUGGUUAGAGAUGUAGCUCACACUUGGGCUCAGGGAAACACACUCCUGGGGGUGCCAGGGCCUCCUCCAUCCCACCAGAGCCUCCUCAGCCCCACCUGUGCUCCUCGCCCUCCAGCAGCCGCCUGUAGGUGGCGAUCUCGAUGUCCAGGCCCAGCUUGGAGUUCAUCACCUCCUGGUACUCCUUGAGCAGGCAGGCCAUGUCCUGCUUGGCCUUCUGCAGGGCGGCCUCCAGCUCGGCCAGCUUGCAGCGGGCGUCGGUGAGGGCCGCCUCGCCCUGCUGCUCCGCCUCGGCCACGGCGGCCUCCAGCUUGGCCCGCUGCGGGGAGGGAGAUGGGGGAUCAGGGAUGAGAGAGAGAAGGCACGGCCGGGCUCGCCUGAGCGCGUGGAGCUGCACCAGGGAGAGGGGGCCAGAGGUCCAGGGAGAAGCUAGGUGAACCAUGUACGAUGGGUGCUUAAUGAGACCUUGCCCAUGAGCGAGAAGGCCCAUGGCCUUUCACCAUGUCUCCUUGAUGGUGGCCUCAAGGUGGCCAAGGAGGGUGAUGCGGAUGCGUGUGACGUGGUACGUCCCACUGUGGGUGCCGAGUGAUUCGGUUGGGUCCCUGCUUCCUCACGGGCAUGCUGUGAAGCCCGACUGGGGCCAGGCUUUUGCCCUCCUGGUACUGCGGUCUGCCCGUGCUGGACAUGCAGGCCCCUCCUCGUACCCUACCUGGCACUUGGCGUUCUCGAUCUCGGCUGUCAGCCUCUGGAUCAUGCGGUUGAGCUCGUUGAUCUCCUCCUUGGUGCGGCGCAGAGUCUCCCCGUGCCGGAUCACCGUGGCCUUCAUCUCCUCACACUGUGUGUAUGUAGGGGGGGCACAGGGGCUCCUGAGGCUCAGGACGGGUCAUCCCGCUGAGUCCCACACCUUGCACAACUGCCACCCCAACCCGAGGGCUGCCUGCCCUUCCCUCGUCCAUCCCAGCUGGACAAAUCCCAAAGCCCUUUCAGCAUCCCUCCUUCUGGGGCUCUGGCAGGGGGAGGCUGGGCCCCGACCUUGCUGCGGUACCAGGACUCGGCCUCAGCCCGGCUGCGGCUGGCGAUGUCGUCGUACUGGGCCUUGAUCUCGGCCACGACGCAGUCCAUGUUCAGGUCCCGGCUGUUGUCCAUCUUGACGAUGACCGAGGUGUCUGAGAUGUGGGCGUGGAGGACCUGGAGCUCCUGGGGGCCAACAGCCAAUACAUUUGGGUCUGGCGCCCGGUCUGGGCCGUGGGCUCCACCCUUAGGGGCGGUGUCCGCUCCCUGGAGUGGUCAUGCGUGUGGCAUGACUCCUGCUCCGCGGGCUCCCCUGCCGCCUUCAUUCCCACGCAGGCUCAUCAUCAGACAAGAAAGCUGGAAGGGCCCCAGGAGGAGCUGCGGACUGACUGCCCCUGACUUAACAAAUGGGAAAACCGAAGCCCGUGCUGGCUUUUCUCAAAGUCACCCAGCAGGGGACCUGGGGUUCGAACACUGGGUGCUCACGCCUCCCGUCUACCUGCCCUGGCUGGUCAGCAGGGGCCCCCUCACCUCGUCGUAGAGGCGCUUCAGGAAGCUAGAUUCCUCCACCAGCGCCUCCACGUUGGCCUCCAGGUCGGAUUUCCGCAGGUGGGGACGCUUCCUGAGACGUUCCUGUGUGGUGUGAGGCCCAUGCUAAGCGCCCACAUCCAUCCAUCUGUAGCUACAGCUGACCCUUGAACAAUGCGGGGCUUAGGGGCACCCACGCCUCCCCCGGCCCUCCCACCCCGCGCAGUUGAAAAUUGGCGUAUGGCUUUUGACUCCCCGAAAACUGAACUACUAAUACCC